UACGUAGGUGGCAAGCGUUGUCCGGAUUUACUGGGCGUAAAGAGCGCGCAGGCGGUCGUUCAAGUCGCGUGUGAAAGCCCCCGGCUCAACUCCGGAAUUGCCUUUAAGACUGCAUCGCUAGAAUUGUGGAGAGGUAAGUGGAAUUCCGAGUGUAGAGGUGAAAUUCGUAGAUAUUGGGAAGAACACCGGUGGCGAAGGCGGCUCACUGGCCAGUUUCUGACGCUGCAGCGCGAAAGCGUGGGGAUCAAACAGG
This 253-nucleotide ribosomal RNA is filed under the name uncultured bacterium. RNAcentral describes it as "partial 16S ribosomal RNA". It matches the Rfam family "Bacterial small subunit ribosomal RNA", at positions 524 to 776 of the family's 1533-position model. The record is from RNAcentral.